GUGGUGAUAUUCAAACAGAAGAGAUUUCAUCAAAGAUUGAAUUUGGCGGCCCUUUCCGACAUGUCUCUCAAAAGUUCCUUCCGGGGCAGCGCUAAUGGCACGUUGAUCGUUAUGGACCAACACGUUUCGUAAAAACAACUCCAAAGAAGUAAAUGUAGUAAAAAGAGAAGGUUGGGAUGAAUGGGAUGACCCUUGAUGAGAUGACGAUUUUUUAGUUAAAAGGGAAG
Non-coding RNA from Schizosaccharomyces pombe (fission yeast), 227 nucleotides. The record is from the annotation of a GenBank genome assembly. Lineage: Eukaryota; Fungi; Ascomycota; Schizosaccharomycetes; Schizosaccharomycetales; Schizosaccharomycetaceae.